This is a long non-coding RNA of Gigantopelta aegis, 348 nucleotides long. RefSeq lists it as uncharacterized. Lineage: Eukaryota; Metazoa; Mollusca; Gastropoda; Neomphalida; Peltospiridae. The transcript has 3 exons. The record is from RefSeq and is a predicted model, not a curated record.
UUUUGUACCAGAAUGGGAAUUCCAGUGUCUAACGAUAUUUAGUCAUUACGUAAUGACGGUUGGAGUUUCGUAAUGUACAGAUUCAUUACAUUUUGAAAUGUUUACAAUUUCACGAGCAUUAAGACGACAUGGAUACAGUUUGGACGUGUGCGACAUGUACUUAUGAUAACUGUGAUGGCGAUCAUGACUGUUUCAUGUGUUACACACCUCGCGGAACACAAAAUACUCCAUACCAGAGUCAAGUUUGGACGUGUUCAGAAUGUACUUAUGAAAACUGUGACGGUGAUAGAGAGUGCUUGGUGUGCGAUACACUACGCGGAACGCAAGUUAUGUUAUAUAGGAGCGAAG